GCGUGAGGAACCUGCCUCAAAGAGGGGGACAACAGUUGGAAACGACUGCUAAUACCGCAUAAGCCCACGGAUCGGCAUCGAUCUGAGGGAAAAGGAGCAAUCCGCUUUGAGAUGGCCUCGCGUCCGAUUAGCUAGUUGGUGAGGUAAUGGCCCACCAAGGCGACGAUCGGUAGCCGGACUGAGAGGUUGAACGGCCACAUUGGGACUGAGACACGGCCCAGACUCCUACGGGAGGCAGCAGUGAGGAAUAUUGGUCAAUGGGCGGAAGCCUGAACCAGCCAAGUAGCGUGAAGGACGACUGCCCUAUGGGUUGUAAACUUCUUUUAUGCGGGGAUAAAGUUCGCCACGUGUGGCGUUUUGCAGGUACCGCAUGAAUAAGGACCGGCUA
Molecule: ribosomal RNA, 388 nt
Filed under: uncultured bacterium
Lineage: Bacteria
Description: bacterial SSU rRNA
Rfam family: Bacterial small subunit ribosomal RNA
Source: RNAcentral